UACGAGAGGCCCAAACGUUAUUCGGAUUUACUGGGCUUAAAGAGUUCGUAGGCGGCGCGGAAAGUAAGGUGUGAAAGCCCUCGGCUCAACCGAGGAAUUGCGCUCUAAACUACCCGUGCUCGAGGAAGCUAGAGGUGAGCGGAACUGAUGGUGGAGCGGUGAAAUGGCGUUGAUAUCAUCAGGAACACCGGAGGCGAAGGCGGCUCACUGGGGGCUUUUCUGGACGCUGAGGAACGGAAAGCCAGGGGAGCGAACGGGG
RNAcentral lists this ribosomal RNA (259 nucleotides) under uncultured bacterium. Its description in RNAcentral is "partial 16S ribosomal RNA". It matches the Rfam family "Bacterial small subunit ribosomal RNA", at positions 524 to 777 of the family's 1533-position model. The record is from RNAcentral.